CGUAGGGUGCAAGCGUUGUCCGGAAUUAUUGGGCGUAAAGAGCUCGUAGGCGGUCUGGUCGCGUCGGAUGUGAAAACCCGGGGCUUAACCCCGGGCCUGCAUUCGAUACGGGCAGACUCGAGUGUGGUAGGGGAGACUGGAACUCCUGGUGUAGCGGUGAAAUGCGCAGAUAUCAGGAAGAACACCGGUGGCGAAGGCGGGUCUCUGGGCCACUACUGACGCUGAGGAGCGAAAGCGUGGGGAGCGAACAGGAUUAGAUACCCUGGUAGUCCACGCCGUAAACGUUGGGCGCUAGGUGUGGGGGACUUUCCGACGGUCCUCCGUGCCGCAGCUAACGCAUUAAGCGCCCCGCCUGGGGAGUACGGCCGCAAGGCUA
This 376-nucleotide ribosomal RNA is filed under the name uncultured organism. Its description in RNAcentral is "bacterial SSU rRNA". It matches the Rfam family "Bacterial small subunit ribosomal RNA", at positions 526 to 896 of the family's 1533-position model. The record is from RNAcentral.